CCAUCUGUAUCACCAGAUGAACCUACGAGCCUGAAUAAAGUAGCGGCUCUGACAAUGUAACGAAGAGCAAUUCAACAACUGCUCGGGAUCGAAAUCGUGAGAGGUUGAUCCUCCUGAUAACCACAAAUCGGGUGAGUGC
This 139-nucleotide non-coding RNA is filed under the name Vibrio rotiferianus. The record is from RNAcentral. Lineage: Bacteria; Pseudomonadati; Pseudomonadota; Gammaproteobacteria; Vibrionales; Vibrionaceae.